This 72-nucleotide transfer RNA is filed under the name Ornithorhynchus anatinus (platypus). It matches the Rfam family "tRNA". From Rfam's summary of the family: Transfer RNA (tRNA) molecules are approximately 80 nucleotides in length. Their secondary structure includes four short double-helical elements and three loops (D, anti-codon, and T loops). Lineage: Eukaryota; Metazoa; Chordata; Mammalia; Monotremata; Ornithorhynchidae. The record is from Rfam by way of RNAcentral.
AGCAGUGUGGCUUAGUGGAAAGACCCCGGGCUUCAGAGUCAGAGGACAUGGGUUCUAAUCCCAGCACUGCUA